This is a long non-coding RNA of Oncorhynchus gorbuscha (pink salmon), 1596 nucleotides long. RefSeq lists it as uncharacterized. NCBI's taxonomy places the organism in Eukaryota, Metazoa, Chordata, Actinopteri, Salmoniformes, Salmonidae. The transcript has 2 exons. The record is from RefSeq and is a predicted model, not a curated record.
AUUAAUUGCAAUUCAUCUGAUUUCUCUUCAUAAAAUUCUGGAGUAUAUGCAAAUGACCAUCAUACAAACUGAGGCAGCAGACUUAGUGAAAAUGAAUAUUUGUCAUUCUCAAAACUUUUGGCCAAGACUGUACAUUGUGCUAAAAUGGUCUCUACUGGUGCAGUGGUCUAAGGCACGGCAUCUCGGUACUCGAUGUGUCCCUACAGAUCCUGGUUCGACCACGGGCAGUAUCACAACCGGCCAUGAUCGGGAGUACAAUAGGGCGGCGCGCAAUUGGUGCAGCGUCGUCCGGGUUGGGGGGGGUUUGGCUGGGGUAGAUUGCCUAAGUGUUACUGAAUGAAAGCUGUAGUACAGAGUUACAGAAUGUCAAAGCAGUGCACUACAUAGACCCAGAAUGAGAGAACUCCUUUAUGCACAGAGGCUUGCUUAUUCUGUGGAUCUGGAAUGGGCAGCCCAAGUUUUCUGGUGCUAGGGUCCUGGUCAUUUUAUUUUCAGUUGAGGAAGGUUCCGCAUCGGCAAGCCGCAACACAUAACACGCGGGACCAGAGCUUAUUUUUUUUUAUGCUGGGAAAGAAUGAAGAAAAGCACAGCGGUUUAAUGUAAACCAAUCCAUUCGACUCUUAGCAAGCAUACUCAUUUUAUUAUUCAAUUAUUGCUAGUCAUUAUUUGGACUUGAUUUGUAUUAUUUAUUAUCUUCAGUUUAUCUGUUGAACACAUCCUGACAAUUUUUCUAAUUUAACUCUUAAUUUGUCAUUGUUUUUUGAAAGUGUGAUCAUAUCAGAUAAACACAAAAUAUGACCACCUCCACCAUCCUCUUCACAUUAUUUCGUCUGACAAGGGCCUCUGCAGCUCAACCUGUAUUACUAGAUUGACGACAACCUCACAGAGGUCCUUUCUAUGAAGGAGGAGCUCCAGCAAGCUGUCAUCUCACAGAGGUCCUUUCUAUGAAGGAGGAGCUCCAGCAAGCUGUCAUCUCACAGAGGUCCUUUCUAUGAAGGAGGAGCUCCAGCAAGCUGUCAUCUCACAGAGGUCCUUUCUAUGAAGGAGGAGCUCCAGCAAGCUGUCAUCUCACAGAGGUCCUUUCUAUGAAGGAGGAGCUCCAGCAAGCUGUCAUCUCACAGAGGUCCUUUCUAUGAAGGAGGAGCUCCAGCAAGCUGUCAUCUCACAGAGGUCCUUUCUAUGAAGGAGGAGCUCCAGCAAGUUGUCAUUAACAAGAAAUAUAACUUAACAUCAGGUGUAUGUAUGGAAGUGAACUAUUAACAAGAAAUAUAACUUAACAUCAGGUGUAUGUAUGGAAGUGAACUGUAACAAUACUCUCCAUGAGUUAUGCCAAUAUACUGUACUAAACAGAUUUACCUAACUUUAAUGUUUCAUUUUACUGCAUUUAUUAAUGUUUCUAUUUAAUAUUUCAAUUGAGUUUGUUUCCUUAAAUCGGAUUCGAUUUUGUUGCCAUCCUAGCUUUGUGCGAGUGUACAGUAAAAAGACCACUUCACAUCAGAUUGUCACAACCUUAUUUUUGUGUACUACUUGCAGUAACCUAAUAUACCCUGCAACUCAUUACAAAUUCUCCCAUUAAAUAAAAAAUACAAUUGCUUU